RNAcentral lists this ribosomal RNA (253 nucleotides) under uncultured bacterium. RNAcentral describes it as "partial 16S ribosomal RNA". It matches the Rfam family "Bacterial small subunit ribosomal RNA", at positions 524 to 776 of the family's 1533-position model. The record is from RNAcentral.
UACGUAGGGUGCGAGCGUUGUCCGGAAUUAUUGGGCGUAGAGGGCUCGUAGGCGGUUUGUCGCGUCGGGAGUGAAAACUUGGGGCUUAACUCCGAGCUUGCGGUCGAUACGGGCAGACUUGAGUUCGGCAGGGGAGACUGGAAUUCCUGGUGUAGCGGUGAAAUGCGCAGAUAUCAGGAAGAACACCCGUGGCGAAGGCGGCUCUCUGGGACGGUACUGACGCUGAGACGCGAAAGCGUGGGGAGCGAACAGG